This 795-nucleotide ribosomal RNA is filed under the name uncultured archaeon. Its description in RNAcentral is "bacterial SSU rRNA". It matches the Rfam family "Archaeal small subunit ribosomal RNA", at positions 85 to 879 of the family's 1478-position model. The record is from RNAcentral.
ACGGCUCAGUAACACGUGGACAACCUACCCUGAGGUCGGGGAUAAACCCGGGAAACUGGGUAUAAUACCCGAUAGAUCUAGAUUGCUGGAAUGCUUUUAGGUCUAAAGUUCCGGCGCCUCAGGAUGGGUCUGCGGCCUAUCAGGGUAGUAGUGGGUGUAAAGUACCUACUAGCCUACGACGGGUACGGGUUGUGAGAGCAAGAGCCCGGAGAUGGAUUCUGAGACACGAAUCCAGGCCCUACGGGGUGCAGCAGGCGCGAAACCUUUACAAUGCUGGCAACAGCGAUAAGGGGACCUCGAGUGCUACGAUACAAUCGUGGCUGUCUAGUUGCCUAAAAAGCAAUUGAUAGCAAGGGCCGGGCAAGACCGGUGCCAGCCGCCGCGGUAACACCGGCGGCUCGAGUGGUAACCGCUAUUAUUGGGUCUAAAGGGUCUGUAGCCGGCUUAGUUAGUCUCUUGAGAAAUCUGGCCGCUCAACGGUCAGGCGUUCAGGGGAUACUGCUAAAGCUCGAGACCGGGAGAGGUGAGAGGUACUUCAGGGGUAGGGGUGAAAUCUUGUAAUCCUUGAAGGACCACCAGUGGCGAAGGCGUCUCACCAGAACGGAUCUGACGGCAAGGGACGAAAGCUAGGGGCACGAACCGGAUUAGAUACCCGGGUAGUCCUAGCCGUAAACGAUACUCGCUAGGUGUCGGCCACGGUGCGACCGUGGUCGGUGCCGUAGGGAAGCCGUGAAGCGAGCCACCUGGGAAGUACGGCCCCAAGGCUGAAACUUAAAGGAAUUGGCGGGGGAGCAC